Molecule: unclassified non-coding RNA, 392 nt
Filed under: fungal sp.
Lineage: Eukaryota; Fungi
Description: partial internal transcribed spacer region
Rfam family: Eukaryotic small subunit ribosomal RNA (bases 1-46)
Source: RNAcentral
AAGUCGUAACAAGGUUUUCGUAGGUGAACCUGCGGAAGGAUCAUUAACACGUAUCCAAACGUAAACCCCCAAUCCUCUUGUAACCCGCGUACUUCGCAAUCUCUGGUAAAUCAUAGCCCGGAAAGUAGUUUUGAUUCAGAGACCUCUGGCUACGUGAGAACCUUGGAACAGUUACAAUCGUCAUAGGCAUUGUUUCCCCAAGCAGUCAGUGUCUGAGAGUGUCACUGAUUGUGCAAGGAUAGCGCUUCAACGAUUCCUGUAGACCGUACACCCGGGCAGGAGCUGCCAAAGGGUACCCAUGCCCCCUUAUAACCCCACAUUUUAAUGUGAAGCCCAAUGUAUACGUUGGGUAAAAAACCGAACAACUGUUAACCAUGGAUAUCUUGGUUUUC